AGUGAACGCUGGCGGUAGGCCUAACACAUGCAAGUCGAACGGCAGCACAGGAGAGCUUGCUCUCAGGGUGGCGAGUGGCGGACGGGUGAGGAAUACAUCGGAAUCUACCUUUUCGUGGGGGAUAACGUAGGGAAACUUACGCUAAUACCGCAUACGACCUACGGGUGAAAGUGGGGGACCGCAAGGCCUCACGCGAUUAG
RNAcentral lists this ribosomal RNA (200 nucleotides) under uncultured bacterium. Its description in RNAcentral is "partial 16S ribosomal RNA". It matches the Rfam family "Bacterial small subunit ribosomal RNA", at positions 29 to 224 of the family's 1533-position model. The record is from RNAcentral.